GCAUCGAUGAAGACACGCAG
RNAcentral lists this ribosomal RNA (20 nucleotides) under Lactuca sativa (garden lettuce). RNAcentral describes it as "partial 5.8S ribosomal RNA". Lineage: Eukaryota; Viridiplantae; Streptophyta; Magnoliopsida; Asterales; Asteraceae. The record is from RNAcentral.